Molecule: long non-coding RNA, 2144 nt
Organism: Piliocolobus tephrosceles (Ugandan red Colobus)
Lineage: Eukaryota; Metazoa; Chordata; Mammalia; Primates; Cercopithecidae
Exons: 4
Source: RefSeq, a predicted model, not a curated record
UUGUCAUAUUCUCCGAUGCGCUCUUUCGAAGUGAUCAAGGGUGAUGGGAAGAGAAAACCUCUCACAGGGCAAAGCCAAGAACCCACAGAAGAAAGGACUGAGUGUGGAACAGGAGCCCAACCAAGGAAAAUUCUCAACUCCUGGAUUAGGAGGACCUGGCCAAAAAUUCCCAGGAGAACAUCAGAAUUGCUGCAGCCCAGCCAGUGCUGAGUGACUCUCGUUCCUUUUCUUUCCAAGUAGCAAUGUUUUUGUGAUUCUACACCUAUUCCACAUACCUGGGUACAUAUGGAAAACAACUUGUCUUUUUGAUUUUUUAGGUCCUUAUCAAAUCAAGAGGAGCCUCAGUGAGAUCUGGCAUGGAACAUGGAUUUCCAGCUCAAUGCCAGCGUUGGAUAAGAUUUUUGGAGUGUCCUGGGGAUGCCGGAACACGCACACUCCCUGCCCUUGACUUUGGGCCUUGCCCUUUUACUUGUUUUUGCAAAUGAGAUGUUAAUGGAGGUGACAUGAGCAGCAGUUGAAAUGUGCUUGUGCUGUAGAGCUUGCUGUCUUGCACUUCUACCAUUGCCACGAGAAAAAUACGAUAUGAGUCCAGUAGGAUGAGAGGUAUUUGGAACAAAACUGCCCCAGGUGCCCUGUAGACCUGUGGCCUGAAGCGAAGCCACCCCAUGUGACCUUCAGGCACAUGGGCGAGAAAUACCUCCUGUUAUAUGGCACUGUGAUGUUUGUGGUUUCUUGUUACACGGUGGUGACUGACUGAGACAACCCACAAUAGCAACCAGGAGCCCCAUGGCUUCUUUAAAGAUAGGAAGUAAAAAAGUAAAUGGCAAACAAUUUGGGAGUGGGCUGAUACCAACAGAAAGGAGAAAUGAUCAUAGACUUUAGGAUGAGCUGACAAAGUUCUCAUGACUGCCUGGAAAACUCAGCAUACCUAGUGGGUCCUGGAAAAGGUGGGAGGCUAUACAUACAGAAGCAAGUGUACCUCAAAGUCUCCCAUGCCAGUCAAAGAAGAGGAAUAAAGAGUCGGUUGAGGUUGUGGGUGAGGUGAAUGGGUUUAUAGACUGAGGUUGCCCAGGAAUUCGCAGUGUACAUAUACAGUGUACAUACUUAAUGUUUGAUAUAUUUAUUAUACAGUAAUUUUCUGAUAAUUAAACUUCUUAAUAUAACUUUGUGGUAAGAGUGCUUUUCCCACAUUCCAGAGAUUACCAGGAGUCUGACUUUUAAAAAAUCUUGUUGUAUUGUAUGUAUUUUUAGAAAGAGGUAGAGUAAAAAUAAAUAGAUUAACUAGGACUGCUGGAAAAGGGGGUUGGGUGGGAAAGAAAAAUGCCAUUCAGAAAUAGACCAUGAAACUAAUUACCUGGAUAAACCAAUGUAAAAAAAUUUAUUGUUUCAGACAGGGUCAUAAACUCAAUUACCUUAGGGGACUGGCAGGUGACACAAAGGAGUGAGGUAGGCCUGGUGGGGAGUGUGGUGAUGCGGGAGUGUGUGCCCUGUCCCAGAAGGGCAGCUAUGACUGGGAUCCCUCCAAUUGUUGCCAUGUGGGAGUGGCAUCUAGUGUUGCCAGCUCUUCUGAGGAAACAGGGCUGCCAUGUUUGCUUCUGCAGGUUGUACACUGCACAAGAGUGCUCAGCCGAGAGGGUAGCUGGAGCCUAAAAUUCAGUACAAGCUCCAUGUACCAAGCCCUGGGCCAGGACACAGGACUCAAAGAGCAGAGCUCAGGCACAGGUGCCCUUUCUAGGCUCAGCCAAUAGAUGCCCCUUUCUAAGGCCUGGAACCUUGUGUGAGUGACAGAAGCACAGAGGUGGAGAGAUUACGUGGGGUAGCAUCCACUGUGUUUAGAUGGGGAAACUGAGGACCAGAAGAAUGAAGAAACUUGCCCAAGGUCACAUAGAAUAAAGUUCACAUCAGGACUCACACCCAAGUCUAGCUGACUCCAAAGUUCAUUUUGGAACCACUCACAACAUGGACUUCCUGGAUCCCAAACUUUUGGAUGAAUUGACUUCACCCCACAGCCUUUCAAGAGAGAAAAGGGUCUACUUUCUAGAUCUGGGACCUGGGAAAGUGGGCAGCUUUGGGUUCCUGUUGGGCCGGGAAUAGGGCUGGGGUUCCCAGGGUUCUGACUCAAAACCCAAGGCUGGCCGUUUCAA